AUUGAACGCUGGCGGCAUGCCUUACACAUGCAAGUCGAACGGCAGCACGGGCUUCGGUCUGGUGGCGAGUGGCGAACGGGUGAGUAAAGUAUCGGAACGUGCCCUAGAGUGGGGGGAUAACGUAGCGAAAGUUACGCUAAUACCGCAUAUUCUAUGCGUAGGAAAGCGGGGGAUCUUCGGACCUCGCGCUCUAGGAGCGGCCGAUAUCAGAUUAGCUAGUUGGUGGGGUAAAGGCCUACCAAGGCGACGAUCUGUAGCGGGUCUGAGAGGAUGAUCCGCCACACUGGGACUGAGACACGGCCCAGACUCCUACGGGAGGCAGCAGUGGGGAAUUUUGGACAAUGGGCGCAAGCCUGAUCCAGCCAUGCCGCGUGAGUGAAGAAGGCCUGG
Molecule: ribosomal RNA, 390 nt
Filed under: uncultured bacterium
Lineage: Bacteria
Description: bacterial SSU rRNA
Rfam family: Bacterial small subunit ribosomal RNA
Source: RNAcentral